CUUGCUAACGCGUGCGACGCCGUUCUCAGGGCACAGUCUCUGUCAAACGAAGAGCUAUUUCUAACGAGCUCGCUUGGCAGGGACCAAGCCCCCCAUGAGGCGGCGCAGCUAACGUUACGGGCUGACCUCACAUUUUUGCGUUCGUGUUGGCACCACUACUGGUAUAAAACUGUGACGUGUUACAAAAAUACAGGCAGUGCUUCGGAUCGGCUCUUUGAAGGAGGACGGAGCACUGCUCCUGAAUAGAGAUGCCGUUAUGAGGAGGUGUUCCCCGUACUAUUCCCUUCGUCAAUUCGACGAAUUUCUUCGGCCAACUCUACUGUUCAACGAGGUGAAAAUAUCCAUUACCCGUUCCAUAUUAACUGUCCUCGAAUAUCCCAUAGAAUCAGUUGUGGAUUGGUAUUGUAUGCCCCAUAACUGCCAAAACAAUCCUUAUGUGCCAAAUCCAUUUUGCUCUUCAGGUAAAAUAUCCGUAUCCGUCAACGCCAUCUAUCUCUCAUCCCGUUCAAUACAAUUAGAUUUUAACAGCUCUCUCGUGACUCACGUAUUUUACUCAUCACAUCCAUGUCACGCUGAGCGUGUCUGUAUAUUAUACGAUAGAAUAGUCAAUAUUGCAUCGUAACAUUUAGAUUCCCUGACUCUUUAACCAAUUUAACGUAACGAAACCUCUGCCCAUUCUACAAUUAUAUUGCACUUCCGUGGUCUUUUAGAUUUUACUAUGACCACAAUCCCUUGGCACUCAAAUGAUCUCUUCUUAUUUUGGGCAAUGGACACGAGGGCAUCUAUACUCAUCUUUAAUGCACUAUCAACGUCUUUCGCCGUUGACUGACUACUACACCAUCCGGAUAUCUCGUCACUAUCGACCGGCACCAGGCAGUCACCGUGGCACGCCGCCACGUGUGACCAUUGCCAACGCUGUCAACACUAUGCCAUCUCUAUGUGACACUUCAUUGUUAAUCUUCAAGUUCAUUAUCAGCAAGUUCUUCUAAUUGCAUAUUUGUGUACUGUUUCCAAGACUUUGUUUUGAACUAUUGCUGAAGCAGCACAUCACAAAGCUGCCAUUUAUAUUGUAAGCUUGAUUGGCUACAUUACAACUUGUAUGUAUGUAUGUGUACUGUUUGUGACAAGUGUAUGAAAGCAUAUUUGUAUGUGUGUAAGCUUACAAAAUCUUGUUUCACUUCUCAGGCCACCGACCAAAAUACGAGUUCUGCACGGUGUUAUGCUGCCAACCUCCAUGAGUCACAACGGACCGUCAUACACAUGCACGCAACAGACCGAGCUCCAGGCCUCCGCCGCCAGCCACGGGCCCAGGCCGGCAGCGGAGACGUCGAGAUUCAGCGAGUCGAGAUCUGGUACAUACCACGUCUUCAACACGACCCUGGCGCCACGCCCACGAUAUCCACACGGGCGCGGUUCACUCAUCGCCGAACAAGACGGGUCGUCUACUGCCUCUGGCGCCGCAACACACGCAUCCUAUCGUGUGCGGCCAGGCUGAACAGAAGAGGAUCACCAGCAACAUGAUCCAGUACCAGCGACAUCGACUCGCGACGUCUGCUACAUCUCUGCUCGCACUUCGCCUCAACGAGGUUCGUGCUCUGCCUCAACUAGCUCUGGCCUGCCAAAACUAGAGUCCAGCGAAAAGGACCACAUCAAGAGAUCCCACCACACGAAGGGACAUCAAUCGCAGGCUGGCCAGAGGCUGCAACCGUCAGAGACCUGAAUCUUCAAGUGCAAGAGAUUCGAGUAGCAGACCGCGCACAAAGACGUCCAUCUCGGUCAUGUGUUGUUAUUUUGACGCCUCCUGUUGUCGGCUCAUGGGGGAGGGUAAGAUAAUG
Molecule: long non-coding RNA, 1835 nt
Filed under: Amphibalanus amphitrite
Lineage: Eukaryota; Metazoa; Arthropoda; Thecostraca; Balanomorpha; Balanidae
Description: uncharacterized LOC122364294
Source: RNAcentral